CUACGGGAUGCUGCAGUGAGGAAUUUUGCGCAAUGGGGGCAACCCUGACGCAGCCACGCCGCGUGAGUGAAGAAGGCCCUCGGGUCGUAAAGCACUGUCAAGUGGGAAAAAAAUUUUUUGAUUAAUAGUCAAAAGACUUGAUGGUACCACUGGAGGAAGCACCGGCUAACUCCGUGCCAGCAGCCGCGGUAAUACGGAGGGUGCGAGCGUUGUUCGGAUUUACUGGGCGUAAAGAGCGUGUAGGCGGUUUAGCAAGUCAGAUGUGAAAGCCCUGGGCUCAACCCGGGAAGUGCAUUUGAAACUGCUUCACUAGAGUAUGGGAGAGGGGAUUGGAAUUCCUGGUGUAGAGGUGAAAUUCGUAGAUAUCAGGAGGAACACCCGUGGCGAAGGCGAUUCUCUGGACCAAUACUGACGCUGAGACGCGAAAGCGUGGGGAGCAAACAGGAUUAGAUACCCGUGUAGUC
Molecule: ribosomal RNA, 464 nt
Filed under: uncultured bacterium
Lineage: Bacteria
Description: partial 16S ribosomal RNA
Rfam family: Bacterial small subunit ribosomal RNA
Source: RNAcentral